GAGAAGAUCUUGAACUGGACUGCAGGUCCAGUUGGUGACCUGAAGCCUUGGUAGCAGCUAUAACAUACACAUUUCUUUGAAGAAAUUCUUAGUAUUCAUUCCCUUAGCCCAACCAACAGAGUUUCUCAAAAGUGUGAAUCUUGAUUACCACACUGUUUUGGGGAAUGGGGACGCUGCUUCGACCAUAAGUAGUUUUUAUUAUUAUUUUUUUAAACCUUUUAUGUAAAGGAACUUUUUAUCAGGACUGAACUGUGUUUCAAUUAUUGGAGUCAUUAAAUUGCUAAAUGCGAGCAACUAAGAUUACUAUUAAGUGCCA
This 316-nucleotide unclassified non-coding RNA is filed under the name Hevea brasiliensis (rubber tree). Lineage: Eukaryota; Viridiplantae; Streptophyta; Magnoliopsida; Malpighiales; Euphorbiaceae. The record is from RNAcentral.